Molecule: transfer RNA, 91 nt
Filed under: Methanosaeta sp. PtaU1.Bin060
Lineage: Archaea; Methanobacteriati; Methanobacteriota; Methanomicrobia; Methanotrichales; Methanotrichaceae
Description: tRNA-Pro
Rfam family: tRNA
About the family: Transfer RNA (tRNA) molecules are approximately 80 nucleotides in length.
Source: RNAcentral
GGGCUCGUAGGGUAGAGGACAUCCUAGCGGGCUUCGGAGAAUCGCUCGAAGAAACCCGCUGACCUGGGUUCGAUUCCCAGCGAGUCCGCCA